Benincasa hispida (wax gourd) is the source of this 4326-nucleotide RNA transcript. It is a transcript of the gene named MADS-box transcription factor 23-like, with no coding region annotated. The record is from RefSeq and is a predicted model, not a curated record. Lineage: Eukaryota; Viridiplantae; Streptophyta; Magnoliopsida; Cucurbitales; Cucurbitaceae.
AAUAUCGUGAUCUGGUUGGGCCACGUGUCCUCGUAAUUAUGUGGUCUUUCCACACUGGAAAAAAACCCAGAGAGGCUUCAAUACAUGGACGCAGCAGAUCCCUUUCCAUAAAUGGCGCUGUGCAGCUGAAUGAUGUGAAUCCGCUUCAGUACAACGCUCCGUAAAAAAGCGCUAAUUCUGUUUGAUCUCACUUUGCCUGACUCCAACCAGCACCGCACUCAUCCGCAAAGAAAGAAUCGAGUUGCGGAUCUAAGUAUGGGGAGAGGCAAGAUUGUAAUUAGGAGAAUCGAUAAUUCGACGAGCAGACAGGUGACUUUCUCGAAGCGUAGGAGCGGAUUGCUGAAGAAGGCGAAAGAACUAGCAAUUCUUUGCGACGCCGAUGUUGGAGUCAUCAUCUUCUCCAGCACGAGCAAGCUCUAUGAAUACUCCAGCACCAGCAUGAAAACACUAAUAGAACGAUAUAACAAAACAAAAGAUGAGCACCAUCAGCUUGGGAUCUCGACUUCUGAAGUCAAGUACUGGCAAAGGGAAGCAGCAACAUUACGGCAGCAACUGCAGAGCUUACAUGAAAAUCACCGGCAGAUGAUGGGUGAAGAGCUGACUGGUCUGAGCGUCAAAGACCUACAGAAUCUAGAAAAUCAAUUGGAGAUAAGUCUCCAUGGUGUCCGUAUGAAGAAGGAUCAAAUCUUAGUGGAUGAGAUACAAGAACUAACCAGAAAGGGAAACUUUAUUCACCAAAACAAUAUGGAACUUUAUGAGAAGGUAACCCUAAUUCGUCAAGAAAACCAGGAAUUACACAAAAAGGUUUAUGGAACGAAGGAUGCCAAUGGAGCACACAUAAGCAGUCUUACAAAUGGACUUGGUGUUGGAGAGGAUGCAGGCAUACCUAUCAACCUUCAACUCAGCCAGCCACAGCAACAAGACAAUGAGGCACCAGAAAGAGCUACAAAAUUGGGCAGACUACAACUACGCUAGCAAAAAGAGACCUUACACCAACCAGGAAGAUAUUUCUUAUUUUGCAUCAAGAUAACGGUGUAAGGAACUUGCUGGUCCUCUGAGAAUCAAUCUUGGAACCGUUUCUCCCAAACAUUGGCUUUUUCUUCUUGCACUGGAGGGAUGCUGAAACAAAAAUACACUAAAUCAAAAAUUGCCCCUGGCUGCCAACUUGUGGAGCAUGCUGAUUGCACCCUUUGGUCAGUUUAUUGUCUUCCCCAACAAAAAUCACACUUUUCUCUCCUACAUUCUCACAGGACAUCUGUUCUAGAAAGGAAAAAGAAAGACCCUUUGGCAAAACUUCAUCGGAGCUUUUCUUUGGAAUCUUUGGAAAGUACACAAUGCUCAAGUCUUCAAAGAAAAACACUCAAAUUUCGACACACUUAUGGAAAAUACUGCUUACUUUGCUCUUUCGUGAUGUAAACAAACACCCCUUUUUGUAGUCUACACCAUUUUUUUCUCUCAUUUCACAGUGAAAGAGAUUUUUUUAAAUCCUCUUAGGACUCUCUUUUGUAGUCAUUUCAAUCAAUAAAUGAAAUGUUUGUUUCCUAUCUAUAAAGUAAUAAAUAACAAUAAUAAUAAUAAAGAACCCAAGGGAAAAAGAAGACUAAAAAUCAUUUUGGUCUCUGAAAUUUGUUUAAAAACGAUUUCGUCCCUGUAAUUUCAAAUUUGUAAUAAGUUAAUCCUUGAUGUACUACCAAAAUUUGUAACAAUUUAGUCCCUAUCAUGAACAAUCUCCUCAAACUUAAUAUCAAUUUUGAUUAUAUGAUGACUUAGCCUUCAUAAUUUAUACACAAACUUGACCUAUAAUCAUUUACCAAUCUACACAAGUAAGAGAUUUCACUAGAUUUUAAUAGUAUUUUCACGCUAGGGACUAAAUUGUUACAAACGGAAAGUACAAGGACUAAAAUGAUACUUACUAAAGUUUAGAGACUAAAUUGUUACAAAUUGAAAAAUAUAGAGACUAAAUCUUAAUAAAUCAAAGUUUAGUAACUAAAGUUUUACUUCUAUGAAAAUUCUGGGACCAAAAGUGAUUUUUAUCUGAAAAAGAAUUUUGACUAGGUAACAACACUAUCAGGAAUAGAGUUAUGUGAAUGAGACUAUAAGGAUGAAAAAGUGAUUUCAACACAAAUUAUAGUGAAUGCAAUGAAAGCAAGAGGAGCGGACCAUCUUGGGUGUGUGGGUGCUGUACUUUUCUUAAAAAAAUAAAAAAAUAAAAAAGCCCCAAAGAACCUUUGUGGUAAGCUUACUUCAACGAUGGUCACCAUAAACAUGAUGGAACAUCACAAAUAGGUGUGUGGUGCACUGGUGCACUGGUGCAACACCAACAAAAUAUUAUCCAACCCAAACCUUCAGUAAAUUGGCGUUUACUACUCUAAUUCAAUAAAAAGCUUUAUGGGCAUGCUUCUCGAUGGUUCUCACAUACUUACCAUUCCUAUUCCACAUCAGAAGGAAUGAUCCUACACUGGAAAAACUGCUAUAAUCCAUUUUUGAACAAUCAAAGAAGGUAUCAUAUGCAACAGAAUGGAUUCACAAAUUUCAAAUUUGAUCACUUAAUACACAAGUGAUCUUUCUCGAAAGGUAAAAGAAAUUUCACAGAUCUCCUUAGUUACUAGCUAUAAAAUAUUAAAUUUAUUUGGACAGAGAUAAUUCAAUAAUUUUGUUUUUUUAAAUGCAGGAGUUGCAGGCCACUGAAACUACUUAGCUAAAAAUAUUUUAUAAACAAUUCUCAAGGAGGGAAGAUAGGUAGAUCGAAAGCAGGGUUGUCAAAUACUCACUCCAAGUUUCCUACCCAUUAAGAUCAAUUUCAGUGGAAAUUGCGCUCAAAGGGUGCAUAAGAAUGUAUAAAAAUUGCACUUAUAAUAACUAAUCAAGUAAUAUAAAACAAGAUAGAUGGAUGGCAAAAGGGAAAAAUCUUCAACCAAAUGAGUAAAUUUUGGGAAAAUGAUAAACAAAUUAUGGCACAUUCCAAAAGAAUAAACGAUUUAAUGGUUGGAUAUGCCAAUCAUUAGAGCAAGCCAAAAUCACAGAUUAUCAACAUAGCCUAUAUAAUCUUCUUAAUAAAAAUCUCAGAAAAGUCAAUUUAUGUAAAAAAAAAAAAAAAAAAUACUGGUUCACUUGAAGAUAUCAAUUAAUUAGGGGUUGCGAUUAUCACUAAAACACUUCUAAAAACAAGGCCAAACUAUUUUAUCCAAGUCCUUGAGAUCAUCAACUAUAGAAACAUCCUUAAAAUUUAUUUUGCUCAGUUCCCACCAUUGAGACUUUUCAUGGCCAUAAAACCAUCACUAUGAUCCCCCAUGCACCAGCAGCCCAUUUAAACUUCCAUCCAUAAUGCCAGUGGUCAUCAUAUUUAAAAAUUAUUCAGGAAUCAGGAUGAAAAGUUCAUUAUUAACUAUUUUUAAGGUUUUACCUGGUGGGUGAUCGGCACAACUUUGCAAGAAUGUCACUAAAAUCCAUACUAGACAUCUUUAUCCAACAAAUACGGCCGACAUUUUGGUUCGAACAAACCACCAAAAAAGAUGAACCAAAAUGUUUUACCUUUCCAUGGAAAGGAAAUUGCAAGAGGUUUGAUUCAUCGAGACAUGACAAAUAGUGGUUAUUUUAUUUUUGUUCAUGGCAGGAUCUACCAAUGGAAGAAUUUGAGCAGCCUCUUAAAGAAGUUUUGUUGUAUAUAUUACUGAAAGCACAAGUUUGGUCUAGUGUAAACCUCGAGGUGAAUUCAUUAUCUAAGUGUGGAUGAUACCUACAUAAGGAAGCAAGUUGAAAGCCCUAUUGCUCUGAUACUCAAUUCAAUAACUAUAAGUUCACUUUCAUAAUAUUAACUUCAAAUCUUUUUAAUAAAUCUGUGAUUUCACUAGAAUAAACUAUAAAGAGAACUGAAUAAACAAGCCAUUCAAAUAAAAACCUAAGAAAAAUAAAAACAAGUUUCACAAAUAAUACAAUACAAGAGUAAGCAUAAAAAACUAUGCAUAUGCGCAAAUUUUGUUGUAAUCACACAAUUAUAAGAGUUUUGGCUUUACCUACAUAUGAUAGAGAGGUACCAUUUGAAAUUUCUAACUACCAAAACAGAAGUUAUGAGUGCUAACUAACUAACUACGAAACUUACAGUACCCUACAUCACAAAGGCUUCAAAGAUGAUCUUGUGUAACUUAUUCUACUAAAAUCGCGCUUUUAAGGAAUGUGACAAAUAUAGCAUUCAACAGCGCUCGAGUCUUAACUCAUUACUAUUAAUAAAAUAUUAUCCAUACUCAAUAUCUUAUAAACAAGUCAGUUUGAUUCCGUUUCAACAAACAAAAGCAUCAGGCAUGUCUCAGAAUCAGAAGUACGUUUUCA